UACAGAGGGGCCAGCGUUAUUCGGAUUUAUUGGGCGUAAAGAGCUCGUAGGCGGUUUGUCGCGUCUUCCGUGAAAACUGGGGGCUUAACUUCCAGCUUGCGGUGGAUACGGGCUGACUGGAGUGCGGAGCAGGGAGAGUGGAAUUCCUGGUGUAGCGGUGAAAUGCGCAGAUAUCAGGAGGAACACCAAUUGCGAAGGCAGCUCGCUGGGACGUAACUGACGCUGAGACGCGAAAGCGUGGGGAGCAAACAGG
Molecule: ribosomal RNA, 253 nt
Filed under: uncultured bacterium
Lineage: Bacteria
Description: partial 16S ribosomal RNA
Rfam family: Bacterial small subunit ribosomal RNA
Source: RNAcentral